This 497-nucleotide ribosomal RNA is filed under the name uncultured bacterium. RNAcentral's name for it is "partial 16S ribosomal RNA". It matches the Rfam family "Bacterial small subunit ribosomal RNA", at positions 28 to 507 of the family's 1533-position model. The record is from RNAcentral.
GAUGAACGCUGGCGGCGUGCCUAAUACAUGCCAGUCGAGCGAACAGAUGAGGAGCUUGCUCCUCUGACGUUAGCGGCGGACGGGUGAGUAACACGUGGAUAACCUACCUAUAAGACUGGGAUAACUUCGGGAAACCGGAGCUAAUACCGGAUAAUAUAUUGAACCGCAUGGUUCAAUAAUGAAAGACGGUUUUGCUGUCACUUAUAGAUGGAUCCGCGCCGCAUUAGCUAGUUGGUAAGGUAACGGCUUACCAAGGCAACGAUGCGUAGCCGACCUGAGAGGGUGAUCGGCCACACUGGACCUGAGACACGGUCCAGACUCCUACGGGAGGCAGCAGUAGGGAAUCUUCCGCAAUGGGCGAAAGCCUGACGGAGCAACGCCGCGUGAGUGAUGAAAGUCUUCGGAUCGUAAAACUCUGUUAUUAGGGAAGAACAAAUGUGUAAGUAACUAUGCACGUCUUGACGGUACCUAAUCAGAAAGCCACGGCUAACUACGUG